RNAcentral lists this unclassified non-coding RNA (337 nucleotides) under soil metagenome. RNAcentral's name for it is "partial contains 5.8S ribosomal RNA, internal transcribed spacer 2, and large subunit ribosomal RNA". The stretch from base 1 to 120 matches the Rfam family "5.8S ribosomal RNA", at positions 35 to 154 of the family's 154-position model. The record is from RNAcentral.
GAUGAAGAACGUAGCGAAAUGCGAUAAGUAGUGUGAAUUGCAGAAUUCAGUGAAUCAUCGAAUCUUUGAACGCACAUUGCGCCCCUUGGUAUUCCAUGGGGCAUGCCUGUUCGAGCGUCAUUUGUACCUUCAAGCUCUGCUUGGUGUUGGGUGUUUGUCUCGCCUCUGCGUGUAGACUCGCCUCAAAACAAUUGGCAGCCGGCGUAUUGAUUUCGGAGCGCAGUACAUCUCGUGCUUUGCACUCAUAACGACGACGUCCAAAAGUACAUUUUUACACUCUUGACCUCGGAUCAGGUAGGGAUACCCGCUGAACUUAAGCAUAUCAAUAAGCGGAGGA